This 75-nucleotide transfer RNA is filed under the name Candidatus Magasanikbacteria bacterium RIFCSPHIGHO2_02_FULL_48_18. Its description in RNAcentral is "tRNA-Cys". It matches the Rfam family "tRNA". From Rfam's summary of the family: Transfer RNA (tRNA) molecules are approximately 80 nucleotides in length. The record is from RNAcentral. Lineage: Bacteria; Candidatus Magasanikiibacteriota. RNAcentral also lists the same sequence under 3 other names.
GGUACGGUAGCCAAGUGGUAAGGCGGGGGUCUGCAAAACCCCUAUGCGUGGGUUCAAUUCCCACCCGUACCUCCA